Molecule: ribosomal RNA, 486 nt
Filed under: uncultured bacterium
Lineage: Bacteria
Description: bacterial SSU rRNA
Rfam family: Bacterial small subunit ribosomal RNA
Source: RNAcentral
AACGAACGCUGGCGGCGCGCCUAAUACAUGCAAGUCGAGCGAGAAGGUGUAGCAAUACACUUGUAAAGCGGCGAACGGGUGAGGAAUACAUGGGUGACCUACCAUUGAGUGGGGAAUAACCAGCCGAAAGGCUGGCUAAUACCGCGUACGCUUCCGGAUUUUCGAGUUCGGAAGGAAAGCGAUACCGUGGGUAUCGCGCUCUUUGAUGGGCUCAUGUCCUAUCAGCUUGUUGGUAGGGUAACGGCCUACCAAGGCUUUGACGGGUAGCUGGUCUGAGAGGACGAUCAGCCACACUGGCACUGCGACACGGGCCAGACUCCUACGGGAGGCAGCAGUAAGGAAUAUUGCGCAAUGGGCGAAAGCCUGACGCAGCGACGCCGCGUGGGGGAUGAAGGUCUUCGGAUUGUAAACCCCUUUCGGGAGGGAAGAUGGGACGGGCAACCGUUCGGACGGUACCUCCAGAAGCAGCCACGGCCAACUUCGUGC